UGCUAGUCGGAUUCCUUUCCAUUGAGCCAUGAUGGGAACGACUGAAUUUACUUUUCACUCUCUUGGCUUCUGUACCUUUGGAACUAGUCCCCCUCCCAACAAUAUUUUCUUAUGAAAAACUUCAAAAUACAGAAAGUUAAAACAAACAACUGAACAGUGAAAAGUAAUAAAUUCACCACCUUGAAGCCCUAAGAACAUUUGCUAUGAUUGUUUUCGUUCUAAAUUGAAAACAAGGAUGGUGAGUCAUUUUUACAAUAGCAAGUAGAGUUCCGCAAGAGGAGUAUGUUAGAGUAAUUAGUAAAAUCAAAAAGGACACAAAUCUUCGGAAAGAGAAAACAAAAUAAUGUGAUAAGUAUAAGCAGUUGUUAGGAGCAGGAAGUUCAGUAUAACAACUCUGGGCCGGACUGAAGACAGAGACUCUGAACCAUCAGGAGGGUGUUAUUGGCUGUAGUUCUUCAGACCUGAGGGCAAGGGAGGUGGUCCCGGAGCAGAGAAACCUCAGGGCAGGUGGCUUUCUGGCUCACCUGAAAGCCUUCUAAGCCUCUUCUCAGACAUUACCAAGUGGUCAUCACCAAGAAAACUUGCUAAAAAAGCAAUUAACCCUUACAAGCUGUAUCUUUGAGUGUAGAAAUGAGAGCGCUUACAAAAGUGUUGUAAACUAGUUAGAAUCUGAGUGGGGCCUGGAGCGUAGAGUUUUGUUUUUUAAAACCUCCUAAUUAUUCAACACAGCCACUGCUCCCGGGGUGAAACUUGGUUCGGUAGAAAAGAGUUGAUGUCCAGAAAUCUGAAUUUUUAACAAGCACCCAAGGACUUCACUGCAGAUAUCACAGGGUUGGCAGAGUCCAGGAAUACCUUGAAUGACUGCAUCAAAUGCAAAGGAUUGGCCCAACUAGAUCAAGAUGAAAUGUGAUGGAAAUAAAGGUUUCCUGGAGGCAGUGACUCCUACAUCUUGAAGAUGAGCAAAGAAGUUACCAAAGAAGUGGAUGGAAGAAAAGGUUGUUACCAAAGAAGUCAAUGGUGGAUGGAGGGGCACCUUUGGAGAUAUGAGGGAGAUAUGUUACAAAUAUGUACUUUGGUUGAAAUUAAUCAAGUAUGGAAAAAUUGAUACGAAAGGAGAAAAUGGAAGAAAAAGAAACCCAGUGAGGCUUUCAUACGCUUUGCAUCCCGAGGACUAGAAGAUUUCCUGGCAUAUUAGUUAAUGACUCUAAUUGGAGAGAUUGAUGAUGAAACACAUCAGUACAGGGUACUUCUCCUUCGUCUAAUUAAACUUCCUGAAUCAUGGAAUUUAAAUUAUACGUGGAGGUGCUCUGUCAAAAGAGGUGCUCCUGCUUCUCCAGUAAUUGAAAGCAGCUGGACAUUUACCCGAUCCACAACAUCUGGGAAAUUUUCAUCUUUUUUUUUUUUUUUUCCAAGAAUGUAUACACAUAAAAGCAAGUUUCCAAAAUAGAUUUCAAAUUUGUCCUCGUUCAAGCAUUUUUGUUGAUUUUAAUUUGUCAUUAAAGUUAUGUCAUAGAUGGAGGGGGACCUAGUUUAAGUUUGUACUUCAAUGCUUGUGUGUUUACCUGAGCCCUAGGUUUAUCCAGCCCUCAGGUCUAUGCUUAGGGCAUGACAUUUCAGGGUUAUUUCACAUGGGUUUAAGAUUCUUUUGUGGAAUGCGGCCUCUGAGUGAUAGCCCCGGGAGCUAGGUCAGAUAAGGAUGGAACUCGGGUAAACUCUGCCUCAGAAGCUGAGACUUCCUGGGGCUGUGUUAGCCUUCUGAAACUGAUGAAAUGCUUCCCAAGAUGCUGGCAAGGUUUUGCCAAGGUGGAUCCCAGGCUCUGAUUUCACUUUUCUCUUUAUCUGGAAGAACCCUUCUUUCGAAGUGAGGUGGAAGUUAGUGUAAGACACAGGGGAUCUUAAAAUAUACAGGUAUGUAAAUAUUUUGAUUCUUCACUCAAAACAUCCAUAGGAUUUGUAUGCGAAAUAACUAACUCUCUAUACUUAAGCUAUAAUGUACUGAUUUUCAAAUAUCUCAAUGUGUUUGGAAUAAUUUAGAAUAACCCUCUAAACAUUUUAGAGUACUUAUGCAAAAAAGAAAGUCAAGUUAAAUUCUUAAGUCAUCAAUAGUUAUAAAUUGGGAUAUAUCCAAAAGACACGUUUGAAAUUGC
This is a non-coding RNA of Sus scrofa (pig), 2147 nucleotides long. The record is from RefSeq and is a predicted model, not a curated record. Lineage: Eukaryota; Metazoa; Chordata; Mammalia; Artiodactyla; Suidae.